This 3106-nucleotide long non-coding RNA is filed under the name Homo sapiens (human). RNAcentral describes it as "HSALNT0344583". The record is from RNAcentral. Lineage: Eukaryota; Metazoa; Chordata; Mammalia; Primates; Hominidae.
GACACCCCAACCCAGAUGCUGUGGGGUUGGAAUGUGCACACCACUGUCAGUGGUGGGAGGAGGCAGGCACCGUCGGGUUCUGCCUGUGACGUGUUCCUCUCCCUGGGCUUCUCCUCUUGUUUGUUCCACGACCAUCUCCACCCCCCACUUCCUGGGAGCAUCUUCUCUCUUGAUGUUAGCGCCAGUAUUAGGAAAGGGCCUGAGACCAUCAUGGCCAAGUUGCAUGUGCGAAAGCAUCAUGGACAAAGCCACUGGCCUUGCAAAGGGGUGAGUUGUACAAAGUCCUGCAAAGAGCAUGUUGGUUGUCACCAGCGAACAGGUGCAGAGAAGCCCAGACAGCACCCAAUGCCCGUCUGAGGGCCAUGUCCGAGCCACACACCCAUCCUCCCUGGGGGUGGACAGUCCUGUGCUGAGGUAGACACUCCAAACACCACCCACCCUCCCUGGGAGUGGACAGUCCCAUGCCGAGGUAGACACUCCAGCCGCCACCCAUCCUCCCUGGGAGUGGACACUCCCGUGCCGAGGUAGACACUCCAAACACCACCCACCCUCCCUGGAAGUGGACAGCCCCGUGCCGAGGCAGACACCCCAGCCACCACCCACCCUCCCUGGGGGUGGACAGUCCCGUGCCGAGGCAGACACCCCAGCCACCACCCACCCUCCCUGGGGGUGGACAGUCCCGUGCCGAGGCAGACACCCCAGCCGCCACCCACCCUCCCUGGGGGUGGACAGUCCCGUGCCGAGGCAGACACCCCAGCCGCCACCCACCCUCCCUGGGGGUGGACAGUCCCGUGCCGAAGGAGACGCUCCAACCACCACCCAUGCCAAGGUAGUGCCUGCACCUCUGCCUGGCACAGCAGCUUGGGGGCGGCUCUUCCCCCGCUGUGCCCUCUGUGGUGGGGGUGCCUCCUUGCUUCCUUUGAAGAGCUUUACUCCCUCAUGCUCUGUUGUAUGACUGGAGACAGAACUAAAACUAAAAGGAGGCAACAGAGGAGGAGUGCGGUGGGUUUGUUCUCUCUGCUCGUGAAGAACUCACAGGCGCUUCAGCAGGGCUGGGUCACGGUCACGUAGGGUCCUCUGGGUGAAACGGACCUUCUUAUGGAGCCUCCUGUGGGACACGCGUGAGGGGCUUAGGCCAGCGGCGUCUCAAGCUCAUUUUGAAGAACCGAGAUGUGACUCCAUUUCCCAACUGCAGCCCUUGAUCCUUGUAAUAAGGGGAAGCUGGGAUAGAACCUUGGCGUGGCAGAGUCUGGAAUGACGGACAGAGGUGUUGGUGUGGGUCUCUCCCUUUCGGGAGCGGCUGCCUUUUUCCACAAGAGUAGCCGUUCUCUCUCUCUCUGUGUCUCUGCUCCCCCCUCUCCUGUGUGUGUGCAUAUGCGUGCAUGUGCAUGUGUGUGCAUGUGUGUGUGCGCGUGUAUGUGUGUGCGUGUAUGUGUGUGCGUGCAUGUGCGUGUGCAUGUGUGUGUGCGUGUGUGUGUGCGCACGUGUGUGUGUCUUAAUUAGUUGCAUUGUUUGGGUUGCCCUAGAACAUUCUUAAAUCAUAGCCUGAGCAACUUCCAAACAAGCAAACACGGUGCCGCCCUCUUUCACACUCCCCCGACCUGGAUCCCCGAUCCUGAAUCCAAACUUCAUGACGUGUCUGAAGAUUGUUUUCAAGGCUGUUCUCUUGGUCUCUGUCCAGCACGUCUUCCCAUAAACUUAACUGAGCCCGGCAUUGGGAUGACAAAGAUUAAUAAAAUAGGAUUCUUUCCAGAGAAGCCCAUUUUCUGGUUGGAAAAGAUAUGACUACAAAGUAAUUAUAAUGUAAAUAAAUACACUAAAAGAAGCACAAAGAGUUACCAGAAUAGUUAAGUCAAAUGUCUUUUUUGGUUUUAAGUGAUCGAUAUGGCGGAGAGCAGCUGUGUGGAAUUCUGCCGCUCGGUGAGGAUGAGCGAUGCCUGGAGAACCUUCCACAUUUGGUCUUCUCUGUACUUGCCCACCCUCCCCUAGAGCCAUGCCUGGCUCUGAUAAAGUGCUACUUUAUAAAUUUUAGGUUAUUUGAAAGAAGCAAAAGGAACAAAUGACAGGGGAGGCAGGGAGGGACCAGCCUAACGGGGGUUCUGAGAGACACGGUCGCAAUGGCUCUGAGGCCUGUCAGCCUUGGGAGUUUCCAGCUGUGAGCAUGGUGCCCUGGCUUCUGUGUGUACUGAGAAAAGACAAUAUACAAAGUGAGGGACAGGGACAGAGCACGCUGCAGGGAAAGUUCCGUAGAGUUUCUAGGGAGCAGGGAGCACCUGGGACGCACAUCUGGGCUCCAGCAGCAGGGCUGAGACGGUGCCCUGAAGCUGCACCAGGGAUUCCCGGCAGAAGGCUCCGGCCCGUCCAGGCCGCCUCCAGCACCACCAUGCACUUCGUCCCGGCUUCCAGGAGCCCUGGCAGAAACGGAGCUCAGCUGCCAGUCUGGCGUCCUCGAACAUGCUGCGAGUGGCGUUGGUGCCCAUGGCUGUGAAAAUGGAAUCGUUGUCACCUCAUCCAGGACGUGCCUCACGAUCGUGCUGUCUCGUUGGUGGAGACGUUUGCCGUCUUCCGAAGCUUCUCUGCACCAGACCCUCUGAGAUGGCGCGCUUGCCCCAUGACCCCAACGCUUUGCUCUUCACGUCUCCUUUGACAAACCACUGUGACUUCAGAUUGCCGUUCACAUGGAAGCUCCACUUCACGGUUGGUGUUGUACUGUCUGGCUUUGUGGACGAGGACGCCCGCCGCCUUGGCUGCACCCUGGAAUGCCUUGCACUGGGCCCCGGCUGCACGUGCCUGCUCCGACCUGCUCCUGCUGUGAUCUAAACUGCUGGCUGGGCUGCCAGUUUUUCUAAUUAUCUUUUUCCUUUUCUUUGCAGGUUGUCUUAUAUUGAGAACAUUUUCUUAAUUUGUCACUGCAUUAAUGUCCACAUCUGGAAACUGACAAAAUUCACAAUAAUAGAUGACAAGAAGUUAUAUUACUCUGUAGACAUUGAUUUUGUCAUUUUGAAUUGAAAAUAUUGAAAACUGAAAUUAAACAUAUGGAAUACUGCACAUGGCUCAGGUUUCUUACUCAUGCAAAACAGCAUUGAGUGUUAUCAGUGCUACGUAU